RNAcentral lists this ribosomal RNA (239 nucleotides) under uncultured bacterium. RNAcentral's name for it is "partial 16S ribosomal RNA". It matches the Rfam family "Bacterial small subunit ribosomal RNA", at positions 117 to 353 of the family's 1533-position model. The record is from RNAcentral.
GUGGGUAACCUGCCUUAUAGUGGGGGAUAGCCUUUCGAAAGGAAGAUUAAUACCGCAUAAGAUUGUAGUAUCGCAUGAUAUAGCAAUUAAAGGAGCAAUUCGCUAUAAGAUGGACCCGCGUCGCAUUAGCUAGUUGGUGAGGUAAUGGCUCACCAAGGCGACGAUGCGUAGCCGACCUGAGAGGGUGAUCGGCCACAUUGGGACUGAGACACGGCCAGACUCCUACGGGAGGCAGCAUG